RNAcentral lists this ribosomal RNA (253 nucleotides) under uncultured bacterium. RNAcentral's name for it is "partial 16S ribosomal RNA". It matches the Rfam family "Bacterial small subunit ribosomal RNA", at positions 524 to 776 of the family's 1533-position model. The record is from RNAcentral.
GACGAACCGUGCGAACGUUGUUCGGAAUCACUGGGCUUAAAGGGCGCGUAGGCGGUCUCCCAAGUCCGGGGUGAAAUCUUUCGGCCUAACCGGAAAAGGGCCUUGGAUACUGGGGGACUCGAGGGGGGUAGGGGCAAGCGGAACUUCCGGUGGAGCGGUGAAAUGCGUUGAUAUCGGAAGGAACGCCGGCGGCGAAAGCGGCUUGCUGGACCCCAUCUGACGCUGAGGCGCGAAAGCCAGGGGAGCGAACGGG